GAUGAAGAACGCAGCGAAAUGCGAUAAGUAGUGUGAAUUGCAGAAUUCAGUGAAUCAUCGAAUCUUUGAACGCACAUUGCGCCCCUUGGUAUUCCAUGGGGCAUGCCUGUUCGAGCGUCAUUUGUACCUUCAAGCUCUGCUUGGUGUUGGGUGUUUGUCUCGCCUCUGCGUGUAGACUCGCCUCAAAACAAUUGGCAGCCGGCGUAUUGAUUUCGGAGCGCAGUACAUCUCGCGCUUUGCACUCAUAACGACAGCGUCCAAAAGUACAUUAUACACUCUUGACCUCGGAUCAGGUAGGGAUACCCGCUGAACUUAAGCAUAUCAAUAAGCGGAGGA
RNAcentral lists this unclassified non-coding RNA (336 nucleotides) under soil metagenome. RNAcentral describes it as "partial contains 5.8S ribosomal RNA, internal transcribed spacer 2, and large subunit ribosomal RNA". The stretch from base 1 to 120 matches the Rfam family "5.8S ribosomal RNA", at positions 35 to 154 of the family's 154-position model. The record is from RNAcentral.